CAACAGUAUGAUAGUGACCUUCAGUUUGCCAGCUUUUUCUUUCUUCUAAUAUAUCCAAAAUGGCAUCGUUACUUGACUUUCUCUAGGAGCUGAUAUGCUGGAGGCACAGAUAGAGAUGAAAAAUGACUCAGCUCAGGAAGUCUUGUUUGUAGGCAAGGGGAACAUUUAGAAAAUUCAUCAAAGGGCAAUAAAGGUUAAUGAAGUGACUUGCCCAAGGUCACACAGCUAGACACUCUCGGGUGCAGAUGAAGAUUUAAGCAACAAAGUGGGGCAGCCAACAGAUGUCCAUCUGUGAUUAUUUCUGCAAUGGUUCUAGUCCCGGCAGCAAGAGAGUGAAGUUGUUAAAAUAGAAAUCCAGGAACUCUCUCGCCUAGGAGAGCUGAGCAUCAGAAAGAGUGUUUUGACCAGAAGGGUGAGAAAAAAAAAUGGAGCAUUCUACCUUCAGCAGACUACAGCUCUGCCCUAGACUAUUUAAACAUCAACCUGAAGAUAGCCAAGGGCCUGGACCAGAUGAUUUUGAUCUGUUUUUUUGAUGGAUGGUUGGUUUUGUUUUGAGGAGAUUAUGUUAUUGUUGUUUUUAAUUAUGAACUUAACAAACACCAAA
Dromiciops gliroides (monito del monte) is the source of this 604-nucleotide long non-coding RNA. RefSeq lists it as uncharacterized. Lineage: Eukaryota; Metazoa; Chordata; Mammalia; Microbiotheria; Microbiotheriidae. The record is from RefSeq and is a predicted model, not a curated record. The transcript is spliced from 4 exons.